Molecule: ribosomal RNA, 1213 nt
Filed under: Chryseobacterium bernardetii
Lineage: Bacteria; Pseudomonadati; Bacteroidota; Flavobacteriia; Flavobacteriales; Weeksellaceae
Description: bacterial SSU rRNA
Source: RNAcentral
AGCGGCGCACGGGUGCGGAACACGUGUGCAACCUGCCUUUAUCUGGGGGAUAGCCUUUCGAAAGGRAGAUUAAUACCCCAUAAUAUAYUGRRUGGCAUCAUYUGRUAUUGAAAACUCCGGUGGAUAGAGAUGGGCACGCGCAAGAUUAGAUAGUUGGUGAGGUAACGGCUCACCAAGUCUACGAUCUUUAGGGGGCCUGAGAGGGUGAUCCCCCACACUGGUACUGAGACACGGACCAGACUCCUACGGGAGGCAGCAGUGAGGAAUAUUGGACAAUGGGUGAGAGCCUGAUCCAGCCAUCCCGCGUGAAGGACGACGGCCCUAUGGGUUGUAAACUUCUUUUGUAUAGGGAUAAACCUAGAUACGUGUAUCUAGCUGAAGGUACUAUACGAAUAAGCACCGGCUAACUCCGUGCCAGCAGCCGCGGUAAUACGGAGGGUGCAAGCGUUAUCCGGAUUUAUUGGGUUUAAAGGGUCCGUAGGCUGAUKUGUAAGUCAGUGGUGAAAUCUCACAGCUUAACUGUGAAACUGCCAUUGAUACUGCAAGUCUUGAGUGUUGUUGAAGUAGCUGGAAUAAGUAGUGUAGCGGUGAAAUGCAUAGAUAUUACUUAGAACACCAAUUGCGAAGGCAGGUUACUAAGCAACAACUGACGCUGAUGGACGAAAGCGUGGGGAGCGAACAGGAUUAGAUACCCUGGUAGUCCACGCCGUAAACGAUGCUAACUCGUUUUUGGGUUUUCGGAUUCAGAGACUAAGCGAAAGUGAUAAGUUAGCCACCUGGGGAGUACGAACGCAAGAAUGAAACUCAAAGGAAUUGACGGGGGCCCGCACAAGCGGUGGAUUAUGUGGUUUAAUUCGAUGAUACGCGAGGAACCUUACCAAGGCUUAAAUGGGAAAUGACAGGUUUAGAAAUAGACUUUUCUUCGGACAUUUUUCAAGGUGCUGCAUGGUUGUCGUCAGCUCGUGCCGUGAGGUGUUAGGUUAAGUCCUGCAACGAGCGCAACCCCUGUCACUAGUUGCCAUCAUUAAGUUGGGGACUCUAGUGAGACUGCCUACGCAAGUAGAGAGGAAGGUGGGGAUGACGUCAAAUCAUCACGGCCCUUACGCCUUGGGCCACACACGUAAUACAAUGGCCGGUACAGAGGGCAGCUACACAGUGAUGUGAUGCAAAUCUCGAAAGCCGGUCUCAGUUCGGAUUGGAGUCUGCAACUCGA